Molecule: ribosomal RNA, 433 nt
Filed under: uncultured bacterium
Lineage: Bacteria
Description: partial 16S ribosomal RNA
Rfam family: Bacterial small subunit ribosomal RNA
Source: RNAcentral
AACGAACGCUGGCGGCAUGCCUAACACAUGCAAGUCGAACGAACCCUUCGGGGUUAGUGGCGCACGGGUGCGUAAUGCGUGGGAAUCUGCCCUUUGCUUCGGAAUAACUCAGGGAAACUUGUGCUAAUACCGGAUGAUGUCUUCGGACCAAAGAUUUAUCGGCAAGGGAUGAGCCCGCGUAGGAUUAGGUAGUUGGUGGGGUAAAGGCCUACCAAGCCGACGAUCCUUAGCUGGUCUGAGAGGAUGAUCAGCCACACUGGGACUGAGACACGGCCCAGACUCCUACGGGAGGCAGCAGUGGGGAAUAUUGGACAAUGGGCGCAAGCCUGAUCCAGCAAUGCCGCGUGAGUGAUGAAGGCCCUCGGGUCGUAAAGCUCUUUUACCAGGGAUGAUAAUGACAGUACCUGGAGAAUAAGCUCCGGCUAACUCCGUG